GAGUUUGAUUCUGGCUCAGAUUGAACGCUGGCGGCAUGCUUUACACAUGCAAGUCGAACGGCAGCACAGGGAGCUUGCUCCUGGGUGGCGAGUGGCGAACGGGUGAGUAAUGUAUCGGAACGUGCCUGGUAGUGGGGGAUAACUACUCGAAAGAGUGGCUAAUACCGCAUGAGAUCUUUGGAUGAAAGCGGGGGACCUUCGGGCCUCGUGCUACUGGAGCGGCCGAUAUCAGAUUAGGUUGUUGGUGGGGUAAAGGCCUACCAAGCCUGCGAUCUGUAGCUGGUCUGAGAGGACGACCAGCCACACUGGGACUGAGACACGGCCCAGACUCCUACGGGAGGCAGCAGUGGGGAAUUUUGGACAAUGGGCGCAAGCCUGAUCCAGCAAUGCCGCGUGCAGGACGAAGGCCUUCGGGUUGUAAACUGCUUUUGUACAGAACGAAAAGUCUCUGGCUAAUAUCUAGAGAUCAUGACGUACUAGANGCAC
This 486-nucleotide ribosomal RNA is filed under the name Brachymonas sp. canine oral taxon 015. RNAcentral's name for it is "bacterial SSU rRNA". It matches the Rfam family "Bacterial small subunit ribosomal RNA", at positions 9 to 493 of the family's 1533-position model. Lineage: Bacteria; Pseudomonadati; Pseudomonadota; Betaproteobacteria; Burkholderiales; Comamonadaceae. The record is from RNAcentral.